UUGCAAGAGAUGUAGUACUGGAUGGAAAUAUUCAGCAAGAACUUGAUGAAAUUUCCAAAUCUUAGUUAGGAAAUAAUACUUUAAUUAACAAGCACUUGAAAAUUUUAAAAUAAAGCAAAAAAGUUAAAGUACCCCAAAGCAGCACACAAAGUAAAAAAAAUGGAUAAAGAACCUAAGCGAAAAACCUAAAACAAUUAUAGAAGAUCAGGAGAAACUGAUAAAAAUCAGAAACUCAAGUUAAGAAACUGAUAACUAAACUAAUAACAAGUAAAAAUCGAGAUCAAUGGAAGAAAAACCAUCUAAAGUUGAACCUAAAACAAAUUAGUUUCGAUCCCAGAAAACACUGAUAAAAUCACAUCAAACAAAUCAAAAGGAGUAAAUUUAACAAAGGGAUAAGAUUGGUUGAGAUUCUCCUGCUCAGAUUUGCUUUAAAUGAGCAGAUCUGAUCAGGAGAUUGCUCAAACAACUAGGAUUUCAGAUUUUAAAGAGUUUUUGGAGAGAGCGUGUUUUUGGAGCGAGAGUGUUUUUCUGAAGAGCGAGUUCUCACACCUUGUCAAGCAUCUUCUAGGAUCAUGUGGGAAAAAAACGGAAUCCAAGCGAGAACUAUAAGAAUUACGCUGAAUAUUUACGGUUUAAAAGUUGGGAUUUGAGUUUUCUCAAAAGAAGAUCAUUUUCCACUUUUGCGCAGCAUCAACAGUAACGGCCUCUGCAACACAUAGUACUUCAACAUCAACUCCAUCAGACACUACAACAACACCAGUAACAAACACAUCAUUUCAGAUUCCGACGAACACAACGCAACAGCAACCAGAAACACACAGACACAUUUUUGAUUCAGAUGGAUUCAAACUGAUUCAUACAGUUCCAGUAAUCAGAUCCAUUUUUAGCUUAGAAAAAAACUAACAGGGCCAUUUAAAAUAGUUUGGUUACCUGGUUCUUGGUUUAUCGCAAUGGUAGAGUUGGAUUGGAUUGGAAUGGUAGAAUUGAAAAAUGUGUACAAUAAAAAACUAUGGUGUUUAUAUAAUAAUUGUGAAUCAGGAUGUCUGUUCAACUGCUUGUGUUAUGGUCUUAAGCCUUGUUAUUUGUUGAAAAGACUUUCCUUGUAAUGAUGCCAAUUUUGACUCGGUGCUUUAAUAUAAUUAGGAUUU
Papaver somniferum (opium poppy) is the source of this 1148-nucleotide long non-coding RNA. RefSeq lists it as uncharacterized. The transcript has 3 exons. The record is from RefSeq and is a predicted model, not a curated record. NCBI's taxonomy places the organism in Eukaryota, Viridiplantae, Streptophyta, Magnoliopsida, Ranunculales, Papaveraceae.